AAAUUGAAGAGUUUGAUCAUGGCUCAGAUUGAACGCUGGCGGCAGGCCUAACACAUGCAAGUCGAACGGUAACAGGAAGCAGCUUGCUGCUUUGCUGACGAGUGGCGGACGGGUGAGUAAUGUCUGGGAAACUGCCUGAUGGAGGGGGAUAACUACUGGAAACGGUGGCUAAUACCGCAUAACGUCGCAAGACCAAAGAGGGGGACCUUCGGGCCUCUUGCCAUCAGAUGUGCCCAGAUGGGAUUAGCUUGUUGGUGAGGUAACGGCUCACCAAGGCGACGAUCCCUAGCUGGUCUGAGAGGAUGACCAGCCACACUGGAACUGAGACACGGUCCAGACUCCUACGGGAGGCAGCAGUGGGGAAUAUUGCACAAUGGGCGCAAGCCUGAUGCAGCCAUGCCGCGUGUAUGAAGAAGGCCUUCGGGUUGUAAAGUACUUUCAGCGGGGAGGAAGGUGUUGUGGUUAAUAACCGCAGCAAUUGACGUUACCCGCAGAAGAAGCACCGGCUAACUCCGUGCCAGCAGCCGCGGUAAUACGGAGGGUGCAAGCGUUAAUCGGAAUUACUGGGCGUAAAGCGCACGCAGGCGGUCUGUCAAGUCGGAUGUGAAAUCCCCGGGCUCAACCUG
RNAcentral lists this ribosomal RNA (626 nucleotides) under Salmonella enterica. RNAcentral's name for it is "bacterial SSU rRNA". It matches the Rfam family "Bacterial small subunit ribosomal RNA", at positions 1 to 616 of the family's 1533-position model. The record is from RNAcentral. Lineage: Bacteria; Pseudomonadati; Pseudomonadota; Gammaproteobacteria; Enterobacterales; Enterobacteriaceae.